Molecule: long non-coding RNA, 1111 nt
Organism: Solanum pennellii
Lineage: Eukaryota; Viridiplantae; Streptophyta; Magnoliopsida; Solanales; Solanaceae
Exons: 2
Source: RefSeq, a predicted model, not a curated record
UCUACUACCCCUGUACGUUCUUCUUCUUCUUCUUCUUUCGGGCAAAAAUACGACCCAACUCGUGAAACCAAGAAAAAAUCGAAACCCAAAUACCCCAGAGAACCUUCAACACGAGCCCUCUCUCGCGGUCGUCCUCUCCUCUCGUACGAAUUUUUCCAAAGAAUCUUCCAGGUGUCUCCAUCCCCUCGAUCCUUCAUCCUUGCUCCUUGAAUCGGACGGACUUCGUGCUAAAUCCAUUGGGAAUUUUUCCUCAUUUGAGUUAGCAACCUUAUCCUCAAAGGAUUUCAAAUUUAAAAUUUUGAAUUUCAUCCGUAAAACCUCACAUGUUUCCCCCAAAAUCAGUCCCCAUCUCAUUCUAUAAAAGUUCUCUUUAUUCUUCAUUGGAAGUGUUGGAAACAACAUAUUUGGAAAAAGAUUGGGAAAAAUCUGAGCGGGUAUACAAAGUUAGACACGACGUUACAGAAAAAGAUAAAGAUUUGGAUAUAGAAAUAGACCAAAAAAACAUAUCAGUGAAACAGGAGAUACUUAAGUUUUCGGUUUCACUUUGAACUCAAGUUCUUGUCAUCUUCUCGUAGUCUCAAGUUGGUUGUGAAAUUGUCUCCAACAGUUAGAGUCUCAGUUUGCUACUUCGGAAAAGUUAACCAUAAACUCUUAUCUUUCUGUUGCAUUCGGAGAGAGAGCAGUAAAAGCUCAAAUUUCUCUUUUGAGUCAACUAGCCAUAGAAUCGAUGAACAGGUCCAAAAGUUGAGAAUUUUUGAGCGGCACGAGUUCGAGAGUUGAAGGGAUUGGGUCAAAAAAUCCAUCGUCUUUUUUAGUUGUUAUUUAUUAUUUUUCGGCCUAAUCCCUUGCCAUUUUCAUUAUUAUUAACUUUUAAGUUUAGGAGAGGUGGAAAUGGGCCAAAAGUCAAAACAAAAUGGGCGCAAAUACAGGUCCAGGCGGACAGAAAUUGAAUUUGGGCCCAACAUAUCUCUCUCUCUUUUACUUUAUUGCGUAUUUAUUUGUUGAAAUUUGUCGUUACUUUUAGCGUUUGAAAAUUUCAAAUCCACGCAAGAAGCUAUUUCGCUUUAACAAUUUAAAUAAAUUAAUCAAGUCUGAAUAGACUUAAAAUAAA